Molecule: non-coding RNA, 329 nt
Organism: Pelobates cultripes (western spadefoot toad)
Lineage: Eukaryota; Metazoa; Chordata; Amphibia; Anura; Pelobatidae
Source: the annotation of a GenBank genome assembly
CACUAAACCACUGGAUUCUAUAUGGGAAACAUAUUGUGAGAACAAGGGCUCAAAUUGUGAAAGUGAACAUAUAAUAAUUAAAAAAUCAAAUGCACAAAUAUCCCAAGAAUAUUGACAAAAUGUGAAGAAUGCUUUGGUCAAACAAACUUACAACCAACGAGAGAUACGCACUGAUUAGCCACAACAUUAAAACCACCUGCCUAAUAUCGUAUAGGUCCCCCUCGCUGCAAAAACAGCUCUGAUGCAUCAAAGCAUGGACUCCACAAGACCUCUGAAUGUGUCCUGUGGUUUAAGUCCUGCAAGUUGAGAGGUGGGGUCUGUUAUUCCAG